GGAUCAACAUGUCGGUCGUGCCUUCGGUACGUUCUGGCAUCGUUGGUUUCUACCUUCUGACAAACCAUGAUGUCAUUAAUUUGGUGUCAUGGGGAAUCAGGACUGUUACUUUGAAAAAUUAGAGUGUUUAAAGCAGGCACACGCUUGAAUACAUUAGCAUGGAAUAAUGAAAUAGGACGUUUGACCCUAUUUUGUUGGUUUCUAGGAUCGACGUAAUGAUUAAUAGGGAUAGUUGGGC
This 238-nucleotide ribosomal RNA is filed under the name uncultured Glomeromycotina. Its description in RNAcentral is "partial 18S ribosomal RNA". The stretch from base 47 to 238 matches the Rfam family "Eukaryotic small subunit ribosomal RNA", at positions 693 to 887 of the family's 1831-position model. The record is from RNAcentral. Lineage: Eukaryota; Fungi; Glomeromycota.